RNAcentral lists this long non-coding RNA (448 nucleotides) under Mytilus galloprovincialis (Mediterranean mussel). The record is from RNAcentral. Lineage: Eukaryota; Metazoa; Mollusca; Bivalvia; Mytilida; Mytilidae.
GUAGUUUUGUAAAAGUACAAAAAAGAACUUCCAACCAGAUCUAUUUAACCGUUUGAUUAUUAUUAUUAAGGGCAUCCGUAUUACUUAACACAUUACACGGUUUCUUGGCGACAUAGAUGCAAAGACAUGUCAUUCUUACAUUGCUUUGAAUGUUUAUUUUAUAUAGCCAACUGCAAUAAACUGUCUCUUUAAUUAUUAUCAUGCACACUCGACAUGUUUUUCUUGCAUAGAGAUCCAACAUCUAAAAAUAAAAUUGAGAAUGGAAAUUUGGGAUGUGUCAAGGAGACAACAACCCGACCAUAGAGCAGACAACAGCCGAAAGCCACCAGUGGGCCAACAAUGGAUCUCCUUAUUUUAAUAUGAAUUGAAGGAUUUGUGUAGUAUGCUAAUUACUGAUGUAGUUAACAGUGAAUUAUGAUGCAAGUAUAUUGUAUUGCAGAUACCAAAG